AACGAACGCUGGCGGCAUGCCUAACACAUGCAAGUCGAACGAGACCUUCGGGUCUAGUGGCGCACGGGUGCGUAACGCGUGGGAAUCUGCCCUUUGCUUCGGAAUAACAGUUAGAAAUGACUGCUAAUACCGGAUGAUGUCUUCGGACCAAAGAUUUAUCGGCAAAGGAUGAGCCCGCGUAGGAUUAGGUAGUUGGUGGGGUAAAGGCCUACCAAGCCGACGAUCCUUAGCUGGUCUGAGAGGAUGAUCAGCCACACUGGGACUGAGACACGGCCCAGACUCCUACGGGAGGCAGCAGUGGGGAAUAUUGGACAAUGGGCGCAAGCCUGAUCCAGCAAUGCCGCGUGAGUGAUGAAGGCCUUCGGGUCGUAAAGCUCUUUUACCAGGGAUGAUAAUGACAGUACCUGGAGAAUAAGCUCCGGCUAACUCCGUG
RNAcentral lists this ribosomal RNA (433 nucleotides) under uncultured organism. RNAcentral describes it as "bacterial SSU rRNA". It matches the Rfam family "Bacterial small subunit ribosomal RNA", at positions 29 to 507 of the family's 1533-position model. The record is from RNAcentral.